This 101-nucleotide non-coding RNA is filed under the name Actinacidiphila paucisporea. RNAcentral describes it as "Streptomyces paucisporeus Glycine sequence". It matches the Rfam family "Glycine riboswitch aptamer". From Rfam's summary of the family: This family represents the bacterial glycine riboswitch. Glycine riboswitches usually consist of two metabolite-binding aptamers domains with similar structures in tandem. The aptamers cooperatively bind glycine to regulate the expression of downstream genes. The record is from Rfam by way of RNAcentral. Lineage: Bacteria; Bacillati; Actinomycetota; Actinomycetes; Kitasatosporales; Streptomycetaceae.
GGAGGCCGCGCGGGAGAGUUCCGGCCCCAUUACCAGGGGCGGGGCGCCGAAGGAGCAAGUCCUCCCUUGAAUCUCUCAGGCACAGAUACCGCGCGGGCGAG